Molecule: ribosomal RNA, 253 nt
Filed under: uncultured bacterium
Lineage: Bacteria
Description: partial 16S ribosomal RNA
Rfam family: Bacterial small subunit ribosomal RNA
Source: RNAcentral
GACAGAGGGUGCAAACGUUGUUCGGAAUUACUGGGCGUAAAGCGAGUGUAGGCGGUUUGGUAAGUCGGAUGUGAAAGCCCCGGGCUCAACCCGGGAAGUGCACUCGAUACUGCCAAGCUAGAGUAUCGGAGAGGUUGGUGGAAUUCUCGGUGUAGAGGUGAAAUUCGUAGAUAUCGGGAGGAACACCGGUGGCGAAGGCGGCGACCUGGGUCGAUACUGACGCUGAGGUGCGAAAGCGUGGGGAGCAAACAGG